This 210-nucleotide long non-coding RNA is filed under the name Elaeis guineensis (African oil palm). Its description in RNAcentral is "long non-coding RNA (EGUI_LNC049235)". The record is from RNAcentral. Lineage: Eukaryota; Viridiplantae; Streptophyta; Magnoliopsida; Arecales; Arecaceae.
CAGAUGAUUACAAAGGAUAGAUAUUGCAUUCCGAAACUAAAGUAGUGCAAAGAUGUAGUUUGAUAAACCUAUAAAAUACAUACUACAAAACGUACAAAAGCAGUUGAAAUGGAUGAGCAAGUAGACCUGACAAAUAGUAACUGUAUCAUUAGAGGAUGAAGCUGCCUAUCUUUAUAGAAUAGCUGAUAUGCUAUCUGAAGUAGGACCAAC